RNAcentral lists this long non-coding RNA (1120 nucleotides) under Panthera leo (lion). RNAcentral's name for it is "lncRNA (ENSPLOG00000018400.1)". Lineage: Eukaryota; Metazoa; Chordata; Mammalia; Carnivora; Felidae. The record is from RNAcentral.
CAGGCCGCGGGCCCCCCCCCCCCCCCCCCCCCCCCCCCCCCCGGCGUCGGGAGCGGGCGUGGCAGGGCUCUGAGCACCGCACGAGUGGUGAGUCCCAGACGCGGGCUCCUCACGGCCCCCGGGCCUGCAGGCAGGGCCCACUCCUGGAGACAGACUCUGGGAGGUCCACUGACCCGCCGGAGGCCCGGAGCUGAAUGGCGCCGCAGGCAUCACCCGGUGGGUCGGCCGCUCAGGCUCCUCCCCCCAGGGGCCCAGAGCCAGGAGCCGCCUCCCUGCGAUGAUCUGGGCAGGGGGGGUACGGGUGGGGACUGGUGUUCACCCCCCACCCCAGGCCAAGCCCGGAGGGCGUCAAGGGCAGGGAGGGGCAGGAGGCAGGCCUUACCGGGGCGCCGGGAAGCCCAGGGGCCCCGUCCCGCCCAGGCACUCCAGGAAGGCCUGCGGGGCCUGGGACGUCGGAGCUGUUCAUCCCAAAGCGGCCCGGCUCUCCGGGCAGGCCUGGGACGCCGGGGGGCCCCGGGGGGCCGGGGAAGCCUCUCGGGCCCUGGAUACAGAGAGACGCAGGAUGGUUGUGGCACGCGGCACCCGCCGAGGGACGGCCCUGACCCCCACCCCCGCUUGGGCGGCACCACCACCACCACCACCACCACCACAGGGUCCACACGCCCAGGACACUCACUCGGAGACUUUCCAGGUCACCGCCGAACCCGGACCCCUCCAUGUCAAUGAAGGUCUGAGGGAGGGAGCCCACGGGCACGUCACCAGGGGCCCAGGUCCUUCCACCCGGCCCUCCCCUCGCCCGAGGCCAGCGGGGUGGGGGCUCGACCCGGCCCGGCAGGAUGCUCGUCUCGAGCACGGCCCACGGCCCACAGCUGGGAGGUUUACGGCGAGAAGCCGUGAGCAGGUAGUGGACGCGCCCGCUGAACAAAAGGAGGCAGAGCCGGGCAGGAGGACAGCCCUGCGGCCCCAACACCCUGUGGCCCAGCAGACAGGGCUGACUCCCGGGCCCGACACCCCUCCCGGAGGGCCGGUCUGGGUCCAAAGAAGGAGGCGUCAGGAAGCCAAGCAAGGUGUGGAGGGUCCCUCCGGGGGCAGCAGGCGGCCCCCCUGCUGGAAGAGGCUG